Long non-coding RNA from Varroa destructor (honeybee mite), 801 nucleotides. RefSeq lists it as uncharacterized. The record is from RefSeq and is a predicted model, not a curated record. NCBI's taxonomy places the organism in Eukaryota, Metazoa, Arthropoda, Arachnida, Mesostigmata, Varroidae.
GCAAAGAUUGUAACAAGCGAUGAAAGUGGGAUAACUUACAAUAACGUCACUGAGAGUAGCUCGGAAUCAAAGUGUGAAAAGUGCCAACGAAAGUUAAAGUCGGACUUUAUCCCAAGAAGAAAAUGUUGUCUAUGUGACUAGGUUAUCGAGAAUUGCUGUUCUAUAAGUUCUAUAAACAACCAAAACAAGCUAUGGAAAAUAGGAAAAGAGCCCAUGAUCAUGCCAAGUUGUACACAUUUGUAGCAAUCUGCCAAAAAUGAUACGAGUUUAAACAAGAUGUUUUUCUUCACCCACCUUAUAGCCCCAACCUGCAUUUUCCGGUUGUUAUUUUUUUGAUCUUACGAAGCUUCUUUAAUGCAAAACUUUGUGUUUUCAUUAGGUGUAAGAAAGCAUAUUGACCAGUUUAUCGAAAUAAGGAUUUUAAUCUAAAAAAAAAAGGAUUAAUAAGCUGCUCGAAAGAUAGGCGAUGGUUAUCGCUAAUAACCGCCGAUGUACAACAAAUUGAGAUUGUUUGGACAGAAAAUCGUUUUCAUCCUAAAUUAGCUACAAUUUGAAAACGAGUUUAUGGGACGAUCCAAUACGUCAGGACUGGACAUGAAAACCUCAAAAGAAAAUUCAACAAACAUCUUAAAAACGAGGCGAGACAAUAACGGGCAGGCAUCACAUAUCAUUUUCAUCAAAAUUUUCUUCUUCAGCCUCGAGUAAUCCUGAAAAAGGCAUCUACAAGGCACUCCAAGGUAAAUUCGCUCGAAAUUAUCGGAAGAUGCACAAAUAGCGUACGACGACAACGAGACAGAGAAC